Long non-coding RNA from Homo sapiens (human), 358 nucleotides. RefSeq lists it as uncharacterized. The record is from RefSeq and is a predicted model, not a curated record. The transcript has 3 exons. Lineage: Eukaryota; Metazoa; Chordata; Mammalia; Primates; Hominidae.
GAGGACAUCACAUUUGCCUGAUCUUGUGUGCCUGAUCUCUCUGACUCCGGAGUCUCUUAUAAGUUGAGUGAUAAUUCACCUUAUAGACCAUUCCUGAGGUGAUUGUAACACGUGGGAGAAUUGAGCCUAUCAUGGGAAUGAACACACAAGCAGUGGGUCAGUGUGAAUCACCACAGAAAGCUGAGGCUGCAUUUCAAACUCCAGCAACACCACAAGCUCCUGAAAUGAAGACUCCCAAGUUUCCUGAUUGUCUAACUGGUUAGAGUCAAAGAUGGGAAACACUCAGGCAUCAACGAGCUCACCCUUGAAAUGCAUCCUAAGCCAUUGGGACUGAUUUGACCCACGAACCCUGAAAAAG